This 96-nucleotide Y RNA is filed under the name Microcebus murinus (gray mouse lemur). RNAcentral describes it as "Y RNA (ENSMICG00000043791.1)". It matches the Rfam family "Y RNA". From Rfam's summary of the family: Y RNAs are components of the Ro ribonucleoprotein particle (Ro RNP), in association with Ro60 and La proteins. The Y RNAs and Ro60 and La proteins are well conserved, but the function of the Ro RNP is not known. The record is from Rfam by way of RNAcentral. Lineage: Eukaryota; Metazoa; Chordata; Mammalia; Primates; Cheirogaleidae.
GGCUGGUCAGAGGGUAAUGGGUUAUCAGAACUUAUUAACAUUAGUGUCACUAAAGUUGUUAUAUAACCCCCCUCUGCUAAAUGUGACAGGCUUUGA